AAAGAGUUAAAUAAUUAAAAAAGUUAUUGUUUCAAUAUUAUUUUUAAUAAUUAUUUUGAAAUGAAAUGUUAUUCGUUUUUAAUGAUAUCUAGUUUUUUUAGAAAAAAAUUUAAUUUUAAAUUAAAUUUUAAUUAGAUUUAAUUAAUUAAAUUUAUUAAAAUUUAAUUUUAUAUUUUAAGGGAUAAGCUUUAAAUUAAAUUUUUAUAAUAAUAAAUUUUAUUUUAAAAAUUUUAUAAUUUAUAUUGUUAAUAAAUUUUAUUUUAUUAUAAAUAAUUUUAAAAAAUAAAAAAUUUAAAAAUUUAUAUUUAAAUUUUUAUAAAAAAAUUAUUUUAAAUAAUAAAAAGUUAAAAAUAAUGAUAAAAUUAGUAUAUAAUUAGUUUUUAAUUUUAAAUUAUUAUUUUUAAUUUAAUUAAUAAAAAGGAAUUCGGCAAAUAUUUAUAUUCACUUGUUUAACAAAAACAUGUCUUUUUGUAAUUAAUUUAAAGUCUAAUCUGCCCACUGAUUAAAAUAAUUAAAGGGCUGCAGUAUUUUGACUGUACAAAGGUAGCAUAAUCAUUAGUCUCUUAAUUGGUGACUUGUAUGAAAGAUUGAAUGAGAUAUAUACUGUCUCUUAAUUAAUUUAUAAAACUUAAUUUUUUAUUUAAAAAGUUAAAAUAAGUUAAAAAGACGAGAAGACCCUAUAGAGUUUUAUAAUUAGAAUUAUAAUAUAUUAUUUAUUUUUAAAAAAUUUUUAUAAUUUAAAUUAUUUUAUUGGGGUGAUAAAAAAAUAAAUUUAACUUUUUAAUAUUUUAAACAUAAAUAAUUGAAUAUAUGAUCCAAUUUUAUUGAUUAUAAGAUUAAAUUACCUUAGGGAUAACAGCGUAAUUUUUUUUUUUAGUUCAAAUAAGAAAAAAAGUUUGCGACCUCGAUGUUGGAUUAAGAUAAAAUUUAAAUGCAAAAGUUUAAAAUUUUUG
Molecule: ribosomal RNA, 953 nt
Filed under: Auaxa sulphurea
Lineage: Eukaryota; Metazoa; Arthropoda; Insecta; Lepidoptera; Geometridae
Description: partial 16S rRNA
Source: RNAcentral